CAAACUGUUACCGCAACAUGAAGUCGUAACAAAAACCGGGGCUUAAGGUAACGAAGCCCCG
This 61-nucleotide small RNA is filed under the name Pseudomonas wadenswilerensis. RNAcentral describes it as "Pseudomonas sRNA P36". It matches the Rfam family "Pseudomonas sRNA P36". Lineage: Bacteria; Pseudomonadati; Pseudomonadota; Gammaproteobacteria; Pseudomonadales; Pseudomonadaceae. The record is from RNAcentral. RNAcentral also lists the same sequence under 1 other name.